Molecule: long non-coding RNA, 423 nt
Filed under: Sorghum bicolor (sorghum)
Lineage: Eukaryota; Viridiplantae; Streptophyta; Magnoliopsida; Poales; Poaceae
Description: long non-coding RNA (SBIC_LNC017648)
Source: RNAcentral
AACCUACUCAUUAAUGUCAUUUACUUUAUAUGCAUGUGUCCAAUGAAUGCAAACCCUAAGGACAUGACUAGCUUUACUUAUUAUUCCUUGCUCACCUGGGGUUAUGUAUUUGGGUAGACUAGGCUAUACUAGGUCUGCUUAGCUGCUCUACUCAUCUUAUACACAUGUCUAAACAAGAAUUACUCUCUACUUAACUUGAUGCUUAAACUGUGCUGAAUCUUUGGUCACUGCGGUGAUGGCGAUGUUGGAUGCUUGCGAGCAUCGUGAUGAUGGUGGUGACAGGGGGAGCGGGUACCGUUGGUGGUCCGGAUUGCCGGGCGUACCCGUCUCUGCUCUCCGUAAGGACUUAGUCAGGGAGCGGCCCCCUGGGACUUACAGUGCAGCUCCAAGCUAUAUGGCUCUGGCUUGACUAAUUAGCAGGAC